AGUUAUCGUUUAUUUGAUAGUACCUUACUACAUGGAUAACCGUGGUAAUUCUAGAGCUAAUACAUGCUAAAAAUCCCGACUUCGGAAGGGAUGUAUUUAUUAGAUUAAAAACCAAUGCCCUUCGGGGCUCUCUGGUGAUUCAUAAUAACUUCUCGAAUCGCACGGCCUUGCGCCGGCGAUGGUUCAUUCAAAUUUCUGCCCUAUCAACUUUCGACGGCUGGGUCUUGGCCAGCCGUGGUGACAACGGGUAACGGAGGGUUAGGGCUCGACCCCGGAGAAGGAGCCUGAGAAACGGCUACUACAUCCAAGGAAGGCAGCAGGCGCGCAAAUUACCCAAUCCCGACACGGGGAGGUAGUGACAAUAAAUACUGAUACAGGGCUCUUUCGGGUCUUGUAAUUGGAAUGAGUACAAUUUAAAUCCCUUAACGAGGAACAAUUGGAGGGCAAGUCUGGUGCCAGCAGCCGCGGUAAUUCCAGCUCCAAUAGCGUAUAUUAAAGUUGUUGAGGUUAAAAAGCUCGUAGUUGAACCUUGGGCCUAGCCGGCCGGUCCGCCUCACCGCGUGCACUGGCUCGGCUGGGUCUUUCCUUCUGGAGAACCGCAUGCCCUUCACUGGGUGUGCUGGGGAACCAGGACUUUUACUCUGAAUAAAUUAGAUCGCUUAAAGAAGGCCUAUGCUCGAAUACAUUAGCAUGGAAAUAAUAGAAUAGGACGUGUGGUUCUAUUUUGUUGGUUUCUAGGACC
RNAcentral lists this ribosomal RNA (742 nucleotides) under uncultured eukaryote. Its description in RNAcentral is "SSU rRNA". It matches the Rfam family "Eukaryotic small subunit ribosomal RNA", at positions 108 to 858 of the family's 1831-position model. The record is from RNAcentral.